GUGUUUUUCCACACUCUUUUGUAAAUCAGAUAGUGUGUUCUAGCAACAGAAAAGUAAUAAAUAUAUCUGAUGUCAUUGUUUACUGAUAUACAUGUUAAUGUUUUUUUAAAUCCUCCUGUGCAGAAUACAGGGCUAAAUUCACCAAUCAGAAGGCUGAGCUACAAGAAGUACUGUUGUAACACAGAGAACCAAUCUGUUGAUUUCCAACUGUGCACAAAUUCCCAGGAUCCUCAGCCAGACUUUGGGUAUAUCAUAAGUAAGGACAGUGGUACAAGGGGUGCUUUAUCACUCACAGAAAGAAGCAUUUUGAUAAAAUUAAAUCAUUGGACUGUUUUGAAAGUGGCAAUUCCAGUGAUCCACAAAAUAAAGGCUUCAGAAUACUGUGGCACUGUCAGAUGGGAUCAAACGUGUCAGCUUCUUUGAUAAAUGACCUCUGUAAGUAAGGACAUGCAAACAGAAGCACAUUCAGAGUGGAGGGGUGACAUUUGGAGACUAUUAAUUUCACCCUGCAGAACAGGACCCAGUCCAUCUUAUUGCAAGCCUUUGCUUGUAACCCAUGUGGCAUCAAGUCUUCUCUUAUCUGAAUGGGGAAAAUGAAAGCACAUUAGUUUCAUUUUACAUCUGUUUAAUACGGCGGAUGCACAAAAGUGAACAAUUCAAGAAUUAUUUUCCUUGAUGGCCUUUCAGAUGGUCAUUCUUUUUCCGUUUCUUCUCCUUUAAACUGCAAAAAAAAACAAUGAAAAUCAAAGUAAAUAUAUAAAGAUUAAAUAAACCAAUACAUGGCAAAUAAU
This is a long non-coding RNA of Xenopus laevis (African clawed frog), 791 nucleotides long. RefSeq lists it as uncharacterized. The record is from RefSeq and is a predicted model, not a curated record. NCBI's taxonomy places the organism in Eukaryota, Metazoa, Chordata, Amphibia, Anura, Pipidae. The transcript has 3 exons.